GAUGAACGCUCGCGGCAGGCCUAACACAUGCAAGUCGAGGGGGAAGUUACUUUCGGGUGACUGAGACCGGCGUACGGGUGCGUAACGCGUAUACAAUCUGCCUUUCACUGGGGGAUAGCCCGAAGAAAUUUGGAUUAAUACCCCAUAGUAUAUAGGGACGGCAUCGUUUUUAUAUUAAAGCUUAGGUGGUGAAAGAUGAGUAUGCGUUCUAUUAGCUAGUUGGAGAGGUAACGGCUCCCCAAGGCGAUGAUAGAUAGGGGUUCUGAGAGGGAUGUCCCCCACACUGGUACUGAGAUACGGACCAGACUCCUACGGGAGGCAGCAGUGAGGAAUAUUGGACAAUGGUCGGAAGACUGAUCCAGCCAUGCCGCGUGCAGGAUGAAGGUCUUAUGGAUUGUAAACUGCUUUUGUAAGGGAAGAAUAAGGGCUACGCGUAGUUUGAUGACGGUACCUUACGAAUAAGCAGCGGCUAACUCCGUG
This 480-nucleotide ribosomal RNA is filed under the name uncultured bacterium. RNAcentral describes it as "partial 16S ribosomal RNA". It matches the Rfam family "Bacterial small subunit ribosomal RNA", at positions 28 to 507 of the family's 1533-position model. The record is from RNAcentral.